RNAcentral lists this ribosomal RNA (232 nucleotides) under uncultured bacterium. RNAcentral's name for it is "partial 16S ribosomal RNA". It matches the Rfam family "Bacterial small subunit ribosomal RNA", at positions 99 to 334 of the family's 1533-position model. The record is from RNAcentral.
CGGACGGGUGAGUAAUGUCUGGGAAACUGCCUGAUGGAGGGGGGUAACUACUGGAAACGGUAGCUAAUACCGCAUAACGUCGCAAGACCAAAGAGGGGGACCUUAGGGCCUCUUGCCAUCGGACGUGCCCAGAUGGGAUUAGCUAGUAGGUGGGGUAACGGCUCACCUAGGCGACGAUCCCUAGCUGGUCUGAGAGGAUGACCAGCCACACUGGAACUGAGACACGGUCCAG